RNAcentral lists this ribosomal RNA (557 nucleotides) under Bifidobacterium dentium. RNAcentral describes it as "bacterial SSU rRNA". It matches the Rfam family "Bacterial small subunit ribosomal RNA", at positions 146 to 711 of the family's 1533-position model. The record is from RNAcentral. Lineage: Bacteria; Bacillati; Actinomycetota; Actinomycetes; Bifidobacteriales; Bifidobacteriaceae.
UCUCCUGGAAAACGGGUGGUAAUGCCGGAUGCUCCGGUUGGAUGCAUGUCCUUCCGGGAAAGGUUCCAUCGGUAUGGGAUGGGGUCGCGUCCUAUCAGCUUGAUGGCGGGGUAACGGCCCACCAUGGCUUCGACGGGUAGCCGGCCUGAGAGGGCGACCGGCCACAUUGGGACUGAGAUACGGCCCAGACUCCUACGGGAGGCAGCAGUGGGGAAUAUUGCACAAUGGGCGCAAGCCUGAUGCAGCGACGCCGCGUGCGGGAUGGAGGCCUUCGGGUUGUAAACCGCUUUUGAUCGGGAGCAAGCCCUUCGGGGUGAGUGUACCUUUCGAAUAAGCACCGGCUAACUACGUGCCAGCAGCCGCGGUAAUACGUAGGGUGCAAGCGUUAUCCGGAAUUAUUGGGCGUAAAGGGCUCGUAGGCGGUUCGUCGCGUCCGGUGUGAAAGCCCAUCGCUUAACGGUGGGUCUGCGCCGGGUACGGGCGGGCUGGAGUGCGGUAGGGGAGACUGGAAUUCCCGGUGUAACGGUGGAAUGUGUAGAUAUCGGGAAAGAACACCA